CCUACGGGAGGCAGCAGUGAGGAAUAUUGGUCAAUGGACGAGAGUCUGAACCAGCCAAGUAGCGUGAAGGAUGACUGCCCUAUGGGUUGUAAACUUCUUUUAUAUGGGAAUAAAACGUUCCACGUGUGGGAUUUUGUAUGUACCAUAUGAAUAAGGAUCGGCUAAAUACGUGCCAGGAGCCGCGGUAAUACGGAGGAUCCGAGAGUUAUCCGGAUUUAUUGGGUUUAAAGGGGGCGUAGGUGGAUUGUUAAGUCAGUUGUGAAAGUGUGCGGCCCAACCGUAAAAUUGCAGUUGAAACUGGUCGUCUUGAGUACAGUAGAGGUGUGCGGAAUGCGUGGUGUAGCGGUGAAAUGCUUAGAUAUCACGAAGAACUCCGAUUGCGAAGGCAGUUCACUGGACUGCAACUGACACUGAGGCUCGAAAGUGUGGGUAUCAAACAGGAUUAGAUACCCCUGUAGUC
RNAcentral lists this ribosomal RNA (460 nucleotides) under uncultured bacterium. RNAcentral describes it as "partial 16S ribosomal RNA". It matches the Rfam family "Bacterial small subunit ribosomal RNA", at positions 338 to 795 of the family's 1533-position model. The record is from RNAcentral.